ACGACUUCGCGCCAACUUCGCAAACGUAACUCUACAUGCAACGGAAACUAUUUAAUUAGUGUUUGAUAUAGACAGUAACUUAAUAUUUGAACACCCUUUUAUAAUUACGCUCAUGUUGGUAAACAUGGGAUUCAGACCAUCUUCGUCUCUAAAGCUUUCUGUUAAGAUCAUCUAAUUCAAGUUGUUUAUUCACGUACAACAAUAAUAUAACCAUAAAGAAAAAGGUCAAUACUAUUUGAAUUCAUCUAAAAACGGUCAUUUAUUUUGAACUGCACCAACGAAAAAUGAGUGUUACAUACAAUUUUGUAGUAAGUUAAGAUCAUUUACAAUUGAAAUCUUUCGUUUGAUUCUUCAUGUCAAACAUAAAAAAAAA
Molecule: long non-coding RNA, 373 nt
Filed under: Malus domestica (apple)
Lineage: Eukaryota; Viridiplantae; Streptophyta; Magnoliopsida; Rosales; Rosaceae
Description: long non-coding RNA (MDOM_LNC014092)
Source: RNAcentral